Molecule: small nuclear RNA, 107 nt
Organism: Rhinolophus ferrumequinum (greater horseshoe bat)
Lineage: Eukaryota; Metazoa; Chordata; Mammalia; Chiroptera; Rhinolophidae
Source: Ensembl
GUGCUCGCUUAGGCUGCACAUACACUAAAAUUGGAACGAUACAAAAAAGAUUUGCAUGGCCCCUGCGCAAGGAUGACAUGCAAAUUCAUGAAGCAUUCCGUACUUUU